UUCUAUUGGGAUCAGCCAUUAAUUGACACAUAUUAGUCUAAUCCAUGACCCUUAAUUGGUGUCAUGUGGGCGCGGUCACCAUGCGGACCAUGCAACUCGUGCCAGCAGGAAAGGAAUCCACGCCAAGAAUAGCAGGAAGGGAAAGACAGCGCUAUGCAAGAAUAGAUGCCAAUAAUAGACAAUGCGCACAAAGGCAGGGAGCACUGUAAGAAAGAUCGAGGCAGGGACUGACAAAGGUCUGGCCUAGGUGCCUAUAUAGUCUUGUAAUUAAUAAUUGAACCUUGUUAGAAUCAAGCAAGAACAAUAUGUCUAUUUCUUAAUCUCAUCCACUUCAACAACAGGGUGCUGAGGGGUAAAACCUUGCUCCAACUCUACGG
Molecule: long non-coding RNA, 377 nt
Filed under: Sorghum bicolor (sorghum)
Lineage: Eukaryota; Viridiplantae; Streptophyta; Magnoliopsida; Poales; Poaceae
Description: long non-coding RNA (SBIC_LNC015442)
Source: RNAcentral